AGACACAAGAAGGUACCAAAGAAAAUGAAAAAACCCUUGGUAGUAACGGAAGCAUGAAAAAUUAAGCGCCCCCAUUUCUCCCAAACCAAGUUCGCGUAUGUUUUCGUGAACAAACACCUUGGAUCUUUCCGGUUCGCCAGGGCAGCGAGCAAAGCAGCAGCGAACGGAAACCCCGCAGGGCUGCGCACCGCAGCUAAACCGACGCUCGCAGGAGAGGGGAAGUGAGUGGCAGGGUUCCCUGCCAAGACUCACUGCUGGGAAACAGGCAGUGAGUGGAAGCAGCAGCAGCUCUGGAGACAGCCCCAGCGGAGACAACACUCUACCUGGACAUUUUAUUUGCUGUAAUGUUCUUACGAGUUGCAAGCCUGGUCCACUUUUUACUUCACAACUAAUGUGGAAGAGAACACAUCUGAUUCCAAGGAGAGGAGACUCAUCUCUUGUCCUCAAUAACAAAUGAGGAAUCUGAAGAGCUUGUUUUAAACAAUUUUGGUGGUCUUACAACCCACUGGCAUAGAAUCUCGAGUGUACUUCUUUCUAUUCACCAUGCCACCUACUUCUACUGCAGACAUGAAAUUAAUCAAGAUCACGUAGAAAUCCAUUGGCUUGGGAGGACAGAACAAUCUUAUUCAUAGAAACAUGAUGUUACUUUAUUAGUAAACAAAUUCAGUAUAAA
RNAcentral lists this long non-coding RNA (673 nucleotides) under Homo sapiens (human). Its description in RNAcentral is "HSALNT0303275". The record is from RNAcentral. Lineage: Eukaryota; Metazoa; Chordata; Mammalia; Primates; Hominidae.